RNAcentral lists this long non-coding RNA (743 nucleotides) under Ananas comosus (pineapple). Its description in RNAcentral is "long non-coding RNA (ACOM_LNC014396)". The record is from RNAcentral. Lineage: Eukaryota; Viridiplantae; Streptophyta; Magnoliopsida; Poales; Bromeliaceae.
CCCUAUAAAGUUAAACUUAGGAAAAACUUUAAAUACCACCCAUAGGGGUAGUUUCGCACUUUCUCACUUUAGUACUAUGUUGUUUAAAGUGUUAAUUUAGUACUCUAUAAUUUCAUUUUUAUCUUUUUAUCCGUCAUUCCACUAAUUUUUUUUUUGUUAAAUCAAUAACAAAGUUAAAACUAAAAUAUACUAAAGUGAAUAUUCGAUAAACCUAGAUGGGUGUCUAAAGUUUUUAAUAUAUAAUUUAACGAAAUAUUAACAGAGAAGUUGACGAAAAGAAAAAAAAUGAAACCACAGGAUAUUAACUUGAUACACUUUAAACCAUAGGGUAUUAAAGUGAGAAAGUGCGAAACUACAGGGUUGGUAUUUGAAGUUUACUGUUUACCCUUAAACUUAUAUGUUGUUUCUGUAAAAGUUCUAAUAUUUUUAAAUAUGCCCUUCUAAUUUCUUACCGUUAGAAAAUUUUCUAUAUUUUAAGGACAAAUAAGUAAAAUGUCAAUUUAUCAUCACAAAAAUGUUUCUCCAAAUGUCACAUAUGUAUAAUAUAAGAGAGGUAAAAAUAUCGAGCUAUUUUAUAAACUAAUAAGGAUUAAGCUUUUAACCUAUGAUUAAAUAAAUUUUUCUAAAUGUAAUGAUAUAUUUAAAAAUAUUAGAAUCUUUACAGAGAUAAUAUAUAAAAGUUAAAUUUUAUAGAAAAAUAUUUAUAAUUUAUUAUGUUUGUAGGGACCUAUAUGCAAUUAAUC